AAGGCAACAAUAAUUCAGUAAUCAGACCAUAUGAUCCCAUCAACUCAUUGAGAUGUCAAUCAAGUUCAAUCGAGAAAUAUGUUUGGAUAGAAUGGAAAUCGAUCUAAUCGAUAAAAUCGAGCAUUCAAUAACUUUCAAAGUUCCAAUUUUAAUCAGGGAUUUGCAUCAAACCCCAAUAAUUACAUUAAAGAGCAGCAAAGAUAUCAGCAAUAUGCUCCAUCGACACCAUCAAACCCAGUUUUCUCUGUUCUAAUAGAUUAAUGAAGAUCAUUUUCUUAUUGAAACAUAGAAAGCAUACUCCACAUAAGUAAGUUAGGACCAACAAGGUUGCAUAUUAACAAAUAGAGUGUGGUAUGAGAUAAUUCU
RNAcentral lists this long non-coding RNA (366 nucleotides) under Physcomitrium patens. Its description in RNAcentral is "long non-coding RNA (PPAT_LNC003884)". The record is from RNAcentral. Lineage: Eukaryota; Viridiplantae; Streptophyta; Bryopsida; Funariales; Funariaceae.